This 460-nucleotide ribosomal RNA is filed under the name uncultured bacterium. RNAcentral's name for it is "partial 16S ribosomal RNA". It matches the Rfam family "Bacterial small subunit ribosomal RNA", at positions 338 to 795 of the family's 1533-position model. The record is from RNAcentral.
CCUACGGGAGGCAGCAGUGAGGAAUAUUGGUCAAUGGGCGCGAGCCUGAACCAGCCAAGUCACGUGAGGGAAGACGGUCCUAUGGAUUGUAAACCUCUUUUGUCGGGGAGCAAAAGACGACACGCGUGGCGUUCCGAGAGUACCCGAAGAAAAAGCAUCGGCUAACUCCGUGCAAGCAGCCGCGGUAAUACGGAGGGGGCGAGGGUUAUCCGGUUUGAAUGGGUGGGAAGGGAGCGUAGACUGCCUUGCAAGUCAGGGGUGAAAGCACGGGGGCCAACCCAGGGACUGCCCUUGGAACUGCAUGGCUGGAGUUCGGUAGGGGCAGGCGGAAUUCCUGGUGUAGCGGUGAAAUGCGUAGAUAUCAGGAGGAACACCGAUUGCGAAGGCAGCUUACCAGGCUACUUCUGACGUUGAGGCACGAAAGCGUGGGGAGCAAACAGGAUUAGAUACCCGGGUAGUC